Molecule: long non-coding RNA, 1282 nt
Organism: Amphiprion ocellaris (clown anemonefish)
Lineage: Eukaryota; Metazoa; Chordata; Actinopteri; Pomacentridae
Exons: 4
Source: RefSeq, a predicted model, not a curated record
CCUUUUUCUCGUUUUCACAGAGCAAUGUAAGGCCUUUGCACUUUUCAUGCUUCUUGGAAAAUACGUUUUCUGCCUGCAUUUUUCAAUUUUUUACAAGUUUGGACCCUUUCAAAGGACAUUUGUCUCCAGUAAAGCAGAUGCCAUUUUCUGUCUGAAUGAGUUUACUUGGAGUUUAACAGGGUUGAAAUCUUCAAGAAAAAUUCUUUCUAAUUUCAUGGAAAUCUUCAAGAGGAAGAUGGUUCAGAGAGGCAAGCAGUUAGCUGACCUGCUACAACAGACAACGAGCACUGAGCCAACAGCCAUUAGAAGCCUUGUCCUGAGAGGACUUCCAGUCAUUCUUAGGGACGAUGCAUCCAUGUUCUUUCAGAGCAAUUUGAAUCUUAAUGAGGGAGACUCUGUGGACAUUCCAGUGGCAUUACUCUGCUAUGAGGACAACAGCGCUGCAAGCCCAGCAUCACCACAACUAUUCCCUUCAUGAGUGGGAAUCAUCCUAGAGGGCAGCCCUGUAAUGGACACACUCACCAACCUACCUCAAGCAAUGUGCCUCUUGUUUGGCUUUACCUCCACACUCCACCUGCACUACACCUUUACCUUCAUUCAGCAGGUCAUAGUAAAUUCAGCCUCCAAAGACUCAAAAGCUGAAGAAUGAGCUUGCAGUGCAAGGUGCAACUCUUCAAGCCCAUGUCUGGAUUAUUGCACAGUUAUAUUCACUGACUGAAACAAAUAUUCAUGCUGUUGUUCAUUUUGUAUGUGAUUCCUCUUGUACAAGAUGCAUCUAGUAUUGUUUAUUUUACUAAAAUUAAUGCACAGUGGACAUAUUUUAGAAAGUUGCAGUUUUUAACCCAUUCUUGUCCUCACUGCAUGUUCUUAUUGCUGCUGUUCUUAAUGCCUGUUUUGUUAUGUGGCACACAAAUCAUACAGGCUUUUCCUUGUGUACUUGCAGUACAGUAUGCUGCUACAUGAUCAGUGUUUUCUUCUUCCAAACAGACAAACAAACAGAGCAAACAACUAAAAAACUGUGCUGUCUAUUUGAAAGGAAACUGUUUAAUAACACGUUUUUUGUGUUUUGUUUUUUUGUGCUAACAUAGAAGGGUUCUGUAAUACGUUAAUAGCAAAAAAUUAAGAAUAUACUUUUGAAACUAUUGACAAAAAUUAAUUUUGGUAAUUUUAUGAAACAAGGUCUUGCUGUUGUUUUGUAUUUGCAUCUGGUAUUUCACACAGAGCAUUAAUGUUGAGAAAUGUUUGUUGUUUUGUUAUGUUUCAAUAAAAUGAAUUAAAUGUG